Heterocephalus glaber (naked mole-rat) is the source of this 2503-nucleotide long non-coding RNA. NCBI's taxonomy places the organism in Eukaryota, Metazoa, Chordata, Mammalia, Rodentia, Bathyergidae. The record is from Ensembl.
CAGGCCUCUCUGAGGACGCAGGAGGCAGGGGUUGCCGUGGGGGAGGAGCACCCUGCAGAUGGCGCCCUGACUCUGGCAAGGAAGGGGCUCCAGGGUCACAUGGAGGUCAAAGGAGAGCGGGGCAUGGCGAGGGCUGCUCACACAGGGUCCUGGCCACCCACGGGAACUAACUGAAAGAGCAGGGGGCAUUGAGGCCCUGAAGACACAGGGAGAACGCAGGCCACCUGGGGGGAGAGGGACGUUUCCUCUCAUGCAGUCAUCAACAAACUUUAACUGAGGGACACAAGGGAAUCUCAGAGAUUUAAGGAGUAAGUGCAUGAAAAGAAAGAAGGAAGGAGAGAGGACAGAGUCCCUGCACUGUCGGAACUCUCCUUGAAUAUAAGAUGACGGCUCAGAUGAAAAAAAUACCUACAAUGCAGAAUCAUGCAGGAGGUGCUAUAAAACUCUCCCAAAAUGAAGAAAAGAGAAAAAUCUUGCUUCGAGUCCACCUUGACAGCCCCAGCCCCGCACCCAGGGCCUGGCACACAAACAGCAAGCCGGGCCUCGGUGGAGUAGGGUGCACCUGGGGCUGCAGGGCAGGGGGACCUGGACAGGUCUCAGAGGGGGCUGCUGAGAGGAGGGGAGGGGCUCGGUGGAAGGGUCAGUGGCCUGGCCCGGAAACCAUCCCGGAGGAGUUCCUGGGGCCGGAAGUCUGCAGAGCUGUCCCCAGGAGGCCACUGCAGGGGCCCCUUGCAGAUUCGUAGGUGGAAGCCUUCACCCCUGCCUGGUACCUCAGAAUGUGACCUAUUUUGGCGCAGGGCCUUUCCAGAGGCUCCUUAAAACAUGGAUUGGGGACACUAAUGCCCAUAUCACUGGCUGCUAUGAUGAUCCCAUCAGAUAAACACUGUCAUCCCUGUUGCUCAGUGACAGCGCUGGUACAACUCCAGGUUUCUUACAACCACCUUUCAAACAUGGCCACUGGCAAUGACACAUAGCCUCCUGGAAAGCUGACCAGAUUGACUUCCACCCUCUGUGCUACUGACAUCAGAGGCACCGUGGGCAGAUCUGAACGUUAUCGAAGCACCGUAUUCUGGAACUUCCUGCCAAAUUUGCCUAUGGCACAUGGCUGAUUAUUUCAAGGUUGUCGUCUCUUUCCCCUCUGGCUCCAGGCCAACUCCUGUACUCCCUAAACCGUGUGGCUGCCGACAGCAUGCAGAUCUGACAUCUGUCAGUCAAGCUUUGAGACAGAGAGCCAGCCAGUACUCUUCGCCUCCCACAUCCAAGUCCCUGGGGAAGAAAUUCCACCAGGCCUGCUCAUCCACAUGAAGUGCCUAGCACCAUGCCUGACAGUGAGAAGCAUGCGGCAGUGUCAGCUGGUCUUAAUACUGGAAGUGGUGAUAGGAUUUUUUAAUAUCCAUAAUAAUUACUAGGGCCUCUGUGUCGGUGUCUGCACAGCUCUGUUUUGUGGAUGACAGUGUUCUUGUGUGGAAUCAGCGGAUACUUAACAGCCACCUGGGCCUCUGUGGCCAAGCCCACUUCAGGCUUCAGAAGCUGGAACAACCAUAGCCAUAGGCAGCUAAAUAGGCUAACUCCCCACAACCUACCAGCUCCAUUUGGACAGCAUAAAUCCUGCUUGACAGCCCCCAGCUCUGAGCCCAUGACUAAGAAAUUCUCUUUUAAGUAGAAGAUAACAUGGUUGGACAGUGACUACCAUUUGCAAACAAAAAUUCGAAAGAAAAUGGGUGCCCCGAGAAGGCUGCGCCAGGAAGCACAGGAGCAGGGAGGGAGAGAAACCCUUCCAGAUCACACCCGCAAGGAUCACUCCUCCAACCAGACCCCACCUCCUAACAGCAAGGCAGCUGUGCUGCCCAUGUGGCUGAGUCACCUUCCAGAACCCCCACCUAUGAGUGCAUGAGGCCUCUGGGGGACAUUCUUGGUCUAAAUCACAAUAAUCUUCAGUACUGAAACACACACACACAAAACAAAGGGCUAGAGGUGUGACUCAGUAUUCCCUGGCUUUAAUCUCCAGUGCUGUAAAUAAAUAAGUAAAUUUUAAAAACAGAAAAUAAUAAGUAAAAUGAGGAUGUGGAGAAAUCAGAACCCUUGUGGCAGGUAGGAAUGUAAAAAUUGUACAACCGCUAUGGAAAACAGUAUGAGGGUUCCUCAGAAAUGUAAAGUAGAAUUACCGUAUUACCCAGCAACACUACUUGUAGAUAUAUACCCAAAAGAAUUGUUUGUUUAUUUUUUUACUGGGGAUCAAACUCUGGUCCUUGCACCUGCAAGGCAGGCAGCGGAACCACUGAGCUAAAUCCCCAGCCCUAUACCCAAAAGAAUUGAAGGUAGGAUCUCCAAGGAAUAUGGGUGUAUUCAUGUUCAUAGCACCAUUGAUUAACAUAAGCCAAAAGAUGGAAGCAAUCACCAAAUGUCACUGACAGCUAAAUGGAUAAGCAAAAUACAAUGCAUGCAUACAAUGGCAUAUUAUUGUAUCAGUCUGCUCAGGCUCCCAUAAUAAAACACUAUAAAC